UUGUUUUACAGCUUUAUUAAAUUUUUUAGGCAAACUGGAAGGACAACAAUGAGAAUUGUAUAAACGAAAAUCUUGAGAAUGCAAACAUUCCCAUUAUAUUUAUUAAGGAAUCAUCUCUUUGUGACAUGAAUAUGGACUAUUCAGAUUCAGACCUGAGACUUCAUUUAAGAGAAAUAGACAACUUCGGUGAUGAUUCGUUUUCAAUAUCAAAUAAUGGAGAUGUAAGUAUACAUUCAUCAACACCAGUACGUCCUAAAACGCCUGAUUCAGGUUUAUCGCGUGUAAAAUUAUUUUCGGUGUAGAAAAUCGUAUUACGAUGAGUGUGACUUUAAACUUAUGACAUCGUUUCUGCAUGGAAUAGUAUCACAUUAACAUUUACCUAUAAGUUUAAGGUAUCACAUUGAAACAUAUAUAACUUCAUUUCAGAUAAGUUUGAUGUCAUACUCGUUUCAUUUUAACAUUUUUAAAUAAUGAUCUCGAACAUUGCAAUGUGAUAUUUCUGUAAGACGUAGCUACUAGAGCUGCUGGGGUUUAUCUGUUAAGUUUUUUUUACAUCUUUUGAUGGGAACGUGAAUGAUUGGCGUAAAGAUCUACAUUGAAAGUUUUUCUAGAACACCAAAAAACUGAUUUAUGCCUUUUAAACCAAAAAGCAUUAAUAUUUACCAUACAUAUUUUUGCAUUUUAUGUCCAAUCGUUCAUUUUUUUAUUGCAAUAUUUUACCAUAAUGGUGCUGUAUAAACUUCCUUUAUAGUUUGUAAAAGAGUAUUAUGUUUUACAUUACAUAAAUAAUUAUUGCACACUUUUGUGCUACGUUACAUAUUUAUUGUAUCAGAUUAAAGGAGUCAUUGGUUGUUUGUUUGAAGAAAGGUUCUUUUCUUAGAUUAUUUAGAGAAUUUCUGUUAAUUUCGUUCGUUUCAUUUUCAUUGCAAUAAAAAAUUGCUCUCUACUUUAUUGACCACAAAAAAACGCUUGUGUCAAAAAAAGAGAAUCUUACUUUUUUAUGCGUUAUCUCUAGCGUGAGAGUUUAUAUUAUCUGUUAUUUCCUAAUAAAAUUCUCUAAAACUUGCA
This is a long non-coding RNA of Agrilus planipennis (emerald ash borer), 1068 nucleotides long. RefSeq lists it as uncharacterized. The record is from RefSeq and is a predicted model, not a curated record. Lineage: Eukaryota; Metazoa; Arthropoda; Insecta; Coleoptera; Buprestidae. The transcript has 2 exons.